Molecule: ribosomal RNA, 726 nt
Filed under: uncultured bacterium
Lineage: Bacteria
Description: bacterial SSU rRNA
Rfam family: Bacterial small subunit ribosomal RNA
Source: RNAcentral
CGGGUGAGUAAAGCAUCGGAACGUACCCUAGAGUGGGGGAUAACUAUCCGAAAGGAUAGCUAAUACCGCAUAUUCUAUGAGUAGGAAAGCGGGGGAUCUUCGGACCUCGCGCUCUAGGAGCGGCCGAUGUCAGAUUAGGUAGUUGGUGGGGUAAAGGCCUACCAAGCCGACGAUCUGUAGCGGGUCUGAGAGGAUGAUCCGCCACACUGGGACUGAGACACGGCCCAGACUCCUACGGGAGGCAGCAGUGGGGAAUUUUGGACAAUGGGGGCAACCCUGAUCCAGCCAUGCCGCGUGAGUGAAGAAGGCCUUCGGGUUGUAAAGCUCUUUCGGCCGGGAAGAAAUCGUGUGGGCUAAUACCCUGCAUGGAUGACGGUACCGGAAUAAGAAGCACCGGCUAACUACGUGCCAGCAGCCGCGGUAAUACGUAGGGUGCGAGCGUUAAUCGGAAUUACUGGGCGUAAAGCGUGCGCAGGCGGUUUUUUAAGACAGGCGUGAAAUCCCCGGGCUUAACCUGGGAACUGCGCUUGUGACUGGAAGGCUAGAGUACGGCAGAGGGGGGUGGAAUUCCACGUGUAGCAGUGAAAUGCGUAGAGAUGUGGAGGAACACCGAUGGCGAAGGCAGCCCCCUGGGCCGAUACUGACGCUCAUGCACGAAAGCGUGGGGAGUAUACAGGAUUAGAUACCCUGGUAGUCCACGCCCUAAACCAUAAUGGGGUUGUUGGG